Molecule: non-coding RNA, 29 nt
Filed under: Mus musculus (house mouse)
Lineage: Eukaryota; Metazoa; Chordata; Mammalia; Rodentia; Muridae
Source: RNAcentral
UGAGAAUUUGUCUCAUUUGCCGCUGCCUU